GCCACACAGGCUUCAAAAUGUUGGGGAUGUUACUGCUCAUCUGUUACUAUGACAACGACAGGUAUGAAAGCGAGGCUGUGAGGGAACUUAGCGCGUUUUCAGUGCCAUACGCUGCACAAAGCUCCUAGAUCACUUAUCAUUUUGUCUGGAGUUUUUUGUCUGCUGAAAAUAUAUUGUUGCAGUGUUUCGUAAGCAGAACCAUCAAAAAACACAUUAAAUAAUAGUACACCCAUUAAAGGGGUGCCUCGCUUUCUUUAAAAAGAAGAUGGCGUUGCUGCGAACGAGGUCUAUUGUAAAGAUGAAACAUUUCAUGUUAGGCUGGUCAGUUUUCAGCGGCUCUGGGUCAGAUUUAAAACCUGCUGAAAUUAUUGAGGCUUUAAUGCAGCACCGAUGGAACUGUGAUGACACGCAGAUUAUAUCCGCGCAAAAGUUACUGAACCCUCGUUCAGCACAGGACGGCUCUCUCGCACUGAAUGACGCAUCAGCUCAAUAAGGAAGGCAUGGACUCCUACAUACCUGCUGUUUUCUUCCAUCUCAUGGAGGACCUUACCACUGAUGUGACAUCCGUCUGCUGCCCAUAUCGCUUGACCCUGAGCUCUUCAAAC
Molecule: long non-coding RNA, 605 nt
Organism: Megalobrama amblycephala (Wuchang bream)
Lineage: Eukaryota; Metazoa; Chordata; Actinopteri; Cypriniformes; Xenocyprididae
Exons: 3
Source: RefSeq, a predicted model, not a curated record